CAGUCGAACGAUGAACCGGUGCUUGCACUGGGGAUUAGUGGCGAACGGGUGAGUAACACGUGAGUAACCUGCCCUUAACUCUGGGAUAAGCCUUGGAAACGGGGUCUAAUACUGGAUAUUGACUUUUCCUCGCAUGGGGAUUGGUUGAAAGAUUUAUUGGUUUUGGAUGGACUCGCGGCCUAUCAGCUUGUUGGUGAGGUAAUGGCUCACCAAGGCGACGACGGGUAGCCGGCCUGAGAGGGUGACCGGCCACACUGGGACUGAGACACGGCCCAGACUCCUACGGGAGGCAGCAGUGGGGAAUAUUGCACAAUGGGCGAAAGCCUGAUGCAGCGACGCCGCGUGAGGGAUGACGGCCUUCGGGUUGUAAACCUCUUUCAGUAGGGAACAAGGCCAGGCAUUGUCUGGUUGAGGGUACUUGCAGAAGAAGCGCCGGCUAACUACGUGCCAGCAGCCGCGGUAAUACGUAGGGCGCAAGCGUUAUCCGGAAUUAUUGGGCGUAAAGAGCUCGUAGGCGGUUUGUCGCGUCUGCCGUGAAAGUCCGGGGCUCAACUCCGGAUCUGCGGUGGGUACGGGCAGACUAGAGUGAUGUAGGGGAGACUGGAAUUCCUGGUGUAGCGGUGAAAUGCGCAGAUAUCAGGAGGAACACCGAUGGCGAAGGCAGGUCUCUGGGCAUUAACUGACGCUGAGGAGCGAAAGCAUGGGGAGCGAACAGGAUUAGAUACCCUGGUAGUCCAUGCCGUAAACGUUGGGCACUAGGUGUGGGGGACAUUCCACGUUUUCCGCGCCGUAGCUAACGCAUUAAGUGCCCCGCCUGGGGAGUACGGCCGCAAGGCUAAAACUCAAAGGAAUUGACGGGGGCCCGCACAAGCGGCGGAGCAUGCGGAUUAAUUCGAUGCAACGCGAAGAACCUUACCAAGGCUUGACAUGAACUGGAAACACUCAGAAAUGAGUGCCCCGCUUGCGGUCGGUUUACAGGUGGUGCAUGGUUG
RNAcentral lists this ribosomal RNA (992 nucleotides) under Arthrobacter sp. Its description in RNAcentral is "bacterial SSU rRNA". It matches the Rfam family "Bacterial small subunit ribosomal RNA", at positions 59 to 1051 of the family's 1533-position model. Lineage: Bacteria; Bacillati; Actinomycetota; Actinomycetes; Micrococcales; Micrococcaceae. The record is from RNAcentral.